AGCGGUGUAGUUUAGUGGUAAAACUACAGCCUUCCAAGCUGUUGUCGCGAGUUCGAUUCUCGUCACCCGCUU
RNAcentral lists this transfer RNA (72 nucleotides) under Streptococcus anginosus subsp. whileyi MAS624. RNAcentral's name for it is "tRNA-Gly (TCC) (tRNA-Gly-TCC-2-1, tRNA-Gly-TCC-2-2)". It matches the Rfam family "tRNA". From Rfam's summary of the family: Transfer RNA (tRNA) molecules are approximately 80 nucleotides in length. Their secondary structure includes four short double-helical elements and three loops (D, anti-codon, and T loops). Further hydrogen bonds mediate the characteristic L-shaped molecular structure. tRNAs have two regions of fundamental functional importance: the anti-codon, which is responsible for specific mRNA codon recognition, and the 3' end, to which the tRNAs corresponding amino acid is attached (by aminoacyl-tRNA synthetases). tRNAs cope with the degeneracy of the genetic code in two manners: having more than one tRNA (with a specific anti-codon) for a particular amino acid; and 'wobble' base-pairing, i.e. permitting non-standard base-pairing at the 3rd anti-codon position. Lineage: Bacteria; Bacillati; Bacillota; Bacilli; Lactobacillales; Streptococcaceae. The record is from RNAcentral.